AGUGAACGCUGGCGGUAGGCCUAACACAUGCAAGUCGAACGGCAGCACAGUAAGAGCUUGCUCUUACGGGUGGCGAGUGGCGGACGGGUGAGGAAUACAUCGGAAUCUACUUUUUCGAGGGGGAUAACGUAGGGAAACUUACGCUAAUACCGCAUACGACCUACGGGUGAGAGCAGGGGAUCUUCGGACCUUGCGCGAUUGAAUGAGCCGAUGUCGGAUUAGCUAGUUGGCGGGGUAAAGGCCCACCAAGGCGACGAUCCGUAGCUGGUCUGAGAGGAUGAUCAGCCACACUGGAACUGAGACACGGUCCAGACUCCUACGGGAGGCAGCAGUGGGGAAUAUUGGACAAUGGGCGCAAGCCUGAUCCAGCCAUACCGCGUGGGUGAAGAAGGCCUUCGGGUUGUAAAGCCCUUUUGUUGGGAAAGAAAAGCAGCAGGUUAAUACCCCGCUGUUCUGACGGUACCCAAAGAAUAAGCACCGGCUAACUUCGUG
Molecule: ribosomal RNA, 492 nt
Filed under: uncultured bacterium
Lineage: Bacteria
Description: partial 16S ribosomal RNA
Rfam family: Bacterial small subunit ribosomal RNA
Source: RNAcentral